This 526-nucleotide unclassified non-coding RNA is filed under the name Hevea brasiliensis (rubber tree). The record is from RNAcentral. Lineage: Eukaryota; Viridiplantae; Streptophyta; Magnoliopsida; Malpighiales; Euphorbiaceae.
AGGCUUGUAGAGAAGCCACAAAAUGUAAAGCAACAGAAAGCUUUCUUCUUCUUUCUUCUUUUGUUUUUCUUAUUUAUUAUUUAUUUAUCUGUGUGCCUGAAGCCGUGCUAUCAUGUCUUUUUUUUGAAAUAUAUUUAUUUUUUUAUUGUAUGAUUUCUUUUAAAAAAAAAAAUUUGGUUGGUUUCUCUGUUGCAAUUUUAUGUUUGUUUUAAUGGUAUAUUUAUGGUUUGCAUGCAUGUCUGAUUUUAUUUUAUUGAUUUCUUUAUCUUUUUUAAUAAGAAAGAAAAGAUAAAAAUUCACAUUUUAAUUAAGGGUAUUGGCUAGUUAUUUGGGGAUUAGGGUUCUAGGAGAGAGAUAAUAUUUUGUGGAAUCAUUAUAGUUUCGAGAUUUUAUUUAUUUAUUUAUUUGGGGAUUUUGGGAGCAAUAAGAGGGAAUUCUAAAUGCUAAUUCCUUGUGGGAAGGAAAAGAAUUCUUAGAUUUUGGUGCUUUGACGCAAAGUAUCUAAUUCUUGUUAUGUGUUAUUUUG